Gasterosteus aculeatus aculeatus (three-spined stickleback) is the source of this 2441-nucleotide long non-coding RNA. The record is from Ensembl. NCBI's taxonomy places the organism in Eukaryota, Metazoa, Chordata, Actinopteri, Perciformes, Gasterosteidae.
CCUAUCAGGAGUCAGGAUCAGGAAACAGGAAACAUUUAUUGCCAAAAUAUGUCAGACAUACAAGGAAUUUGUCUUGGCAGUUUUUUUUUAGGCCAGUUUUUUCCCAGAUGUCCGAUUGGACUUGGAAUUUGGCACACAAGUGCUCUUGGACAUGCUCUACAAAAAAGUCAACCAUGGUAUGGAAAUGCAAGGGGUGUGGUUAAUCUGGCAAGACACAUAAUUUACAAAUGAAUUGGCCUGCCCUCACCAAAACUAUUACAUUUCACCAACCAUUAACCCGUAGGUUCCCUAUGUGGCAAACACAGGUCUUCCUCCCCUUAUUAUAUAUCAUUAUCGUUGUAAUCAAUAAUUGUUCUGAUUAUAUUGAUUGUUGUGAAUUUUUUUUUCCACAAAUCAUUAACCCAACGGUUCCCUAUGAGGAUCACUCCUUUUGUUGUGCUGUCAAUUUUGUAGAAAGCAAGAUCGGCAAACACAGGUCUUCUUUCUUCCCUUAUCACAUAUAAUGAUCUUUGUAAUAAAUCAUUCCUUUGAAUAUUUCUUUAAUAUUUUCAUGAAUAUUAUCUGAUUCUUUUCUGAUUAUUUUUUGGAUGAUAUUUUGAAUUUUUUUUUUCACCAACCAUCAUCCCACUGGUUCCCUAUGAAGAUCACUCCAUUUGUUUUCCUGGCAAGAUAGUAGAAAGCAAGAUAUGUGGCAAACACAGGUUUCCUUCCCCCCUUAUCACAUUUGAUAAUCUUUGUAAUCAAUCAUUCCUUUGAAUAUUUCUUGAAUAUUUUCAUGAAUAUUUUCGUGAAUAUUUUUGGAUAUUUUUUUGAAUAUUUUUUGAAUAUUUUUUGAAUAUUCUUUGAAUAUUUUUUGAAUAUUUUUUGAAUAUUUUUUGAAUAUUUUUUGAAUAUUUUUUGAAUAUUCUUUGAAUAUUUUUUAUUUCACCAACCAUCAUCACACUGGUUCCCUAUGAAGAUCACUCCUUUUGUUUUCCUGGUAAUAUUGUAGAACGCAAGAUAUGUGGCAAACACAGGUUUCCUUCCCCCCUUAUCACAUAUAAUAAUCUUUGUAAUCAAUCAUUCCUUUGAAUAUUUCUUGAAUAUUUCCGUGAAUAUUUCCGUGAAUAUUUUUUGAUUAUUUUUUGAAUAUUUUUUAUUUCACCAACCAUCAUCACACUGGUUCCCUAUGAAGAUCACUCCUUUUGUUUUCCUGGCAAUAUUGUAGAACGCAAGAUAUGUAGCAAACACAGGUUUCCUUCCCCCCUUAUCACAUAUAAUAUUGUAAUCAAUCAUUCCUUUGAUUAUUUCUUGAGUAUUUUCAUGAAUAUUUUCGUGAAUAUUUCCGUGAGUUUUUUCGUGAAUAUUUCUGUAAAUAUUUUCGUGAAUAUUUUUUGAAUAUUUUUUAUUUCACCAACCAUCAUCACACGGGUUCCCUAUGAAGAUCACUCCUUUUGUUUUCCUGGCAAUAUUGUAGAACGCAAGAUAUGUGGCAAACGCAGGUUUCCUUCCCCCCUCAUCACAUUUGAUAAUCUUUGUAAUCAAUUAUUCCUUUGAAUAUUUCUUGAAUAUUUUCAUGAAUAUUUUCGUGAGUAUUUCCGUGAAUAUUUUUUGAUUAUUUUUUAUUUCACCAACCAUCAUCACACUGGUUCCCUAUGAAGAUCACUCCUUUUGUUUUCCUGGCAAUAUUGUAGAAACGCAAGAUAUGUAGCAAACACAUGUUUCUUUCCCCCCUUAUCACAUUUGAUAAUCUUUGUAAUCAAUCAUUCCUUUGUAUAUUUCUUGAAUAUUUUCAUGAAUAUUUCCGUGAAUAUUUCUGUGAAUAUUUUUUGAUUAUUUUUUGAAUAUUUUUUAUUUCACCAACCAUCAUCACACUGGUUCCCUAUGAAGAUCACUCCUUUUGUUUUCCUGGCAAUAUUGUAGAACGCAAGAUAUGUGGCAAACACAUGUUUCCUUCCCCCCUUAUCACAUUUGAUAAUCUUUGUAAUCAAUCAUUCCUUUGAAUAUUUCUUGAAUAUUUUCAUGAAUAUUUCCGUGAAUAUUUCCGUGAAUAUUUUUUUGAUUAUUUUUUGAAUAUUUUUUAUUUCACCAACCAUCAUCACACUGGUUCCCUAUGAAGAUCACUCCUUUGGUUUUCCUGGCAAUUUUGUAGAACGCAAGAUAUGCGGAAAACACAGGUUUCCUCCCCCCCUUAUCACAUUUGAUAAUCUUUGUAAUCAAUCAUUCCUUUGAAUAUUUCUUGAAUAUUUUCGUGAAUAUUUCCGUGAAUAUUUUUUGAUUAUUUUUUUGAUUAUUUUUUGAAUAUUUUUUAUUUCGCCAACCAUCAUCACACUGGUUCCCUAUGAAGAUCACUCCUUUUGUUUUCCCGGCAAUUUUGUAGAACGCAAGAUAUGUGGCAAACACAGGUUUCCUUCCCCCCUUAUCAUAUUUGAUAAUCUUGGUAAACAAUCAUUCCUUUAAAU